RNAcentral lists this ribosomal RNA (492 nucleotides) under uncultured bacterium. RNAcentral's name for it is "partial 16S ribosomal RNA". It matches the Rfam family "Bacterial small subunit ribosomal RNA", at positions 29 to 507 of the family's 1533-position model. The record is from RNAcentral.
AGUGAACGCUGGCGGUAGGCCUAACACAUGCCAGUCGAACGGCAGCACAGUAAGAGCUUGCUCUUACGGGUGGCGAGUGGCGGACGGGUGAGGAAUACAUCGGAAUCUACUUUUUCGUGGGGGAUAACGUAGGGAAACUUACGCUAAUACCGCAUACGACCUACGGGUGAAAGCAGGGGAUCUUCGGACCUUGCGCGAUUGAAUGAGCCGAUGUCGGAUUAGCUAGUUGGCGGGGUAAAGGCCCACCAAGGCGACGAUCCGUAGCUGGUCUGAGAGGAUGAUCAGCCACACUGGAACUGAGAAACGGUCCAGACUCCUACGGGAGGCAGCAGUGGGGAAUAUUGGACAAUGGGCGCAAGCCUGAUCCAGCCAUACCGCGUGGGUGAAGAAGGCCUUCGGGUUGUAAAGCCCUUUUGUUGGGAAAGAAAAGCAGCAGGUUAAUACCCCGCUGUUCUGACGGUACCCAAAGAAUAAGCACCGGCUAACUUCGUG